This is a long non-coding RNA of Oncorhynchus nerka (sockeye salmon), 567 nucleotides long. RefSeq lists it as uncharacterized. NCBI's taxonomy places the organism in Eukaryota, Metazoa, Chordata, Actinopteri, Salmoniformes, Salmonidae. The transcript is spliced from 2 exons. The record is from RefSeq and is a predicted model, not a curated record.
UGGUUCCCAACACGUCUUCUCUGCUGUUGGACGAGCUGCACCAGGAGGCCCAAGGGAUGUACACCUGUCAGGCCAUCUACAACACUGACCGGGGAGCUACAAUCACCUUCUACUACACACACCUAGAGGUGGUGGAGGAGGACUGAGAGGGAGAGAGACGGAGAGAGAGGGAGAGGGAGCAGGGAGAGAGAGAGAGAGAGAGAGAGAGAGAGAGAGAGAGAGAGAACUUUGAACAGGGUGUUACUGUAGUAAGUUCAGCACUUUAAUCAGUGAAAUGACUGCUGUGUGUGUUUUUAAUCUACCUGUUGACAAGAUGACUGACAGAUGAGUGUUCCUCAAAAGACUAAAUGCUUUCUUAACCAAUCAGGUGACAGACUAACAACAUGAAUGGUUGGCACUGCUGAGCACCAUAACUCAACUCAGACUACAGAGAGAAACAACAAAAUGGCAGCCAAAAUGACAAAGCAGAAAGGAGAGAUCCAGCGAUGAUUGUUCCUCUAUGUUGACCAGGUCGUUAUUGUGAUGUAAAAUGUGUUCCCAAUGACUACAAUAAAAGUUUAAAUACGC